This 366-nucleotide ribosomal RNA is filed under the name uncultured bacterium. RNAcentral describes it as "partial 16S ribosomal RNA". It matches the Rfam family "Bacterial small subunit ribosomal RNA", at positions 338 to 701 of the family's 1533-position model. The record is from RNAcentral.
CCUACGGGAGGCAGCAGUGAGGAAUAUUGGUCAAUGGACGAGAGUCUGAACCAGCCAAGUAGCGUGAAGGAGGAAGGCACAAUGGGUGGUAAACUUCUUUUAUAAAGGAAUAAAACGAGGCACGUGUGCCUUGUUGCAUGUACCUUAUGAAUAAGGAUCGGCUAACUCCGUGCCAGCAGCCGCGGUAAUACGGAGGAGCCGAGCGUUAUCCGGAGUUAUUGGGGUGAAAGGGAGCGUAGUUGGGUUGUUAAGUCAGUUGUGAAAGCUUGCGGCUCAACCGUAAAAUUGCAAUUGAUACUGGCAGUCUUGAGUUCAGUUGAGGUCUGCGGAAUUCGUGGUGUAGCGGUGCAAUGCUUAGCUAUCACG